RNAcentral lists this transfer RNA (97 nucleotides) under Promethearchaeota archaeon. Its description in RNAcentral is "Candidatus Lokiarchaeota archaeon tRNA-Gly". It matches the Rfam family "tRNA". From Rfam's summary of the family: Transfer RNA (tRNA) molecules are approximately 80 nucleotides in length. The record is from RNAcentral. Lineage: Archaea; Promethearchaeati; Promethearchaeota.
GCACCGAUCGUAUAGUGGUUAAAUGCUUUCUAUAAAGCAUGCCAAAGUAUCUUGGGCUUCCAACCCAAGGAGCCGGGUUCAAUUCCCGGUCGGUGCA